This 781-nucleotide non-coding RNA is filed under the name Xyleborus sp. BMNH 1040067. The record is from RNAcentral. Lineage: Eukaryota; Metazoa; Arthropoda; Insecta; Coleoptera; Curculionidae.
UAAAAGUUUUUUUGCUUUUGGGUUUCAGAAAAACUUGAGUUAAAUGCAAGUUUAGGCAUAAAAUAGGGUUAAGUUUAAAUAGUUUAGUUAAAUUGGGUUAAUUUGGCAGUUAUUAGUAUUAUAUAUUCGGGGGGCCGAGAUAUAGUGGGGAUUACAGUAUAAACAAAAUUUGUGCCAGCAGUUGCGGUUAUACAAAUUAUGCAAUGAAAGUUUAUUGGGAGCAGUUAAAUUAUGCAAUUAAAUAUAGGAAAAAGAAAAUUUUAUUAGGUGAAAUUUUAAAAUUUUAUAAAUCUAUCAAAGAAGAAUGAGGCUGGGAAAUUUUAUAAAAGACUAGGAUUAGAUACCCUAUUAUAAAAAUUAAAAUGUGAAGCCUAAAUUAUUAGUAGUUAAGUUCUUGAAAAUUAAGAAAGAUGGCGGUAUUUUAGUCUAUUCAGAGGAAUCUGUCCUGUAAUUGAUAUUCCACGAUUUAAAUUACUUAGAUUUUUAGCUUAUAUAUCGCUGUAGGUUGAAUAUUUCUGCUGAAUUUUAAUGUUCACGAUUUUUAAUGAAAGAAAAUCAAGUCAAGAUGUAGCUUAUAUCUAAGCAGAGAUGGAUUACAUUAUUUCUAUAUGUGGUUAGUUACUUGAAAAGGUUUCUAUAAAAUGGAUUUGAAGGUAAUUUUUUACUAAAAUUUUAAAAAUGAUUUUAGCUCUAAAAUAUGUACAUAUCGCCCGUCGCUUUCACUAUAAAGUGGAAUAAGUCGUAACAUAGUAGAUGUACUGGAAAGUGUUUCUAGAAGACA